UCCUCCUGCCGUCCCUCCGUCAAACAGCUGUCAUCUCAGCCCUCUAUCUGUGUUCAUCACUCACUUCUCUCCUCAUCUGAAGCCCUGAUAAAAAAAAACAACUCUGGGGGCUACGUCUUCCCUCCGCUCUCCACAGCCCAGAUAAUCCAGCAGAGUAUGGUUUCAGUCUUGGACAUUCACAUAUGGAUGUUUUGUGGCUUGUGAACUCAGAAGGAAAUGGAGAUUGUGGUUUGUAUUUUCCCUCGUCCACCUGUCUGCAGGGUCAGAGGUUUCAGAGCAGAAGGCUGGGCAAUGACUGAGCAAACAAGAGCCAGCAGCCACCUGUGGUAAUCCUGGACACAGUAGGGGUUGUUGUUAUCAUCGGUGAUGAAGGGCGCACCCUCAAGUACACAGGAGCAGGUGCUGCAGCGGAAACAGUGGGAGUGGAAACUCUGGCCCACUGCCUUGAGCACACGGUCUGUGAUCCUCUCGCCACAUCGGGAACACACUGCCAGAGAACCCUGAGGAAGAAGAGAGGGAACAAUAGAUAGAGACAUGAAACAAGACUGGAGAGCGAGACCGAGAAUGGAGGAAGACUCGCAGCAAAGAGCCGGGUCCGAACCAAACCUGUGGCUGCUGUCGGAGUACUCAAGCCUCCGGAUUCACCAAUCCCUCCUUUCAGAUGGUUCUGCAACUUGGCUUUAAUAUUCGGUCACAGCACUUGAGUUGAUGUGUAAACUUUUCCCCAUAAGAGUGAUACAUUAACCUCAAAUAUCAAAUGGUGCAAAUGCUGAAAUAACUCUAAGAUGUCUCUAAAUUCACGUGUCCCCAACUACACCCCUUCAAAAACAGCCACAGAAGAGGGAUUGCACCAUUUAGAUGUAAUUGAGUUAGCAUUUGGAAAACAACCUUUUCGAAAUGAGAUCAAGUCAGACAUUUAGAAGGUAGACGGGGAUUUUCUCUGUAAAAAAGGAAAAGAAAAAAGGAACCAACCAGGACAAGUCUGAAUGUUUCAUCCUCAUUCCUCGUUGUUGGGACACACAGGCUACACUUCAAGUUCUGACAGGACGAACACAACCCUCACAGCUCCUGAAUGCGUCUCAUGAGCGCAUGAACGAACGCCUAUGAUGAGAAACCCCUGUUUCUGCUUUUUGAGUCAGCUUCCUUCAAUGCUAGAUGGAUUGAUGUUGAGUAAUUUUAACCAUAUAUGUCCAGGUUGAUGCUAUGAUGCCCUUUACUGACACAGAGGUGUCAGUUGUUGCUUUGCGUCAUGAGACAUCUCAUAAUGAAUCACAGAUGUGUCAAAGAUAGAACAUAGUUUCAGCACAGAGCGACAUGAUUGAGCCCUUGUUAUAAUACUUUACUUACAUUAUGUAUUCUAUCAGAUAGAUGUACAGUUUGUAUGUUAGGGUUGUUAUGUUUUGUUAUGUAAUUAGAUAAGACCGUAUGUUUUACAAAAAUCCUAAUUAAAAUUGAUUAUUUUGUUUGACUAAAGACUUAAAGACCUAAUGCCUUUGUCAAUAUUAUUUAAGGUACAAUACAAAAACACUGACCUAGAGAAUCUUAGCUCCACUUCUCUGUCCUACUGAUAAUAAUUACAUCAUUGUCCCACUUUAAUAAUUCAGAAAGUCUCUGCAUUAAUAAGUAGGGUAGGGUGCUGAGGCUCAAGUGGAAAGGCAAACUGAAACAGAAGAUUGGUGUGCUUCAGUCUUGUGGAGAGUAGUUGGCUACUCAUUUAUACUUAAUGUUGAAUGAAGUGGAGUCUUAAUACAAAAACAGAUUGACUGUUAACAGUUGAGAUAAAGCUCUUGGCUUGACACGAGUGUCGUAUGUAUGAAUAUUAACACAGUACUCCCAGCAUCUGUAAUGGCUUUGUAGAAGAAGUGCUUGACAAAGGGGGACACAGACUUUGAUUUAGUCUUUUCAUAACAGUACUUCAGCUACCUCAUCUCUAAGAGACAAUAUGCAACAGUCCUCUCAAUUAUUAAAGAGUUAUAAUAACUAGUGGUCAGGUUCCAUCUGUUUCCUUGAUACAGACCUGAGGGAUUGAAAACGGUGAGAUCAGCUACACACUCAGCCCCAACAGGCCCUCUUCAAAUUUAUCUUGAAACCUGAUCCUUGAGAGGAGAGAGACCCUCGACUAAAAGGAACAUAUUUGGCACGACAACUCAAUGACAUCAUCUUUUUCGCUGUUUCAGUUACACUCUAAUCAGCCCCCCCUCCCCCUUCUUUCUCUACAUUUCCUCUUUGUUAUUUUUUUGCUCCCUAGCUGACGACCUGAGUUUUGUCUUACGUUCUGGCUUUCUCUCACAAUCUCAUGAAAACUAAAAAUGUUGUCUAUUUUUUGUGUGUUUUUGGAUAACUGAAUGACAUCACUUGAGGCUGCAUUUAAUAGGCUGUACUUUACAGCUGUGAUUGAGAGUGUGUCAUCGUGUAGCCGUUACAUAGGCCCCAGCAAACAUCACAUACUGUUCUCUGCAGCUUUUGAACUUUGUAUAAACUCCACAUGGCUUUAACAUGGUUAGAAAAUUGGUCCUCAGCACGAUUUUGAGCACCACAGCCCAGUUGGUUUUCAUUCCAUCUUAUCAGGGACCGAGUUACACAUGGGUUGGAGUGGGAAGGUAAUAGACCCAACUACCUUGUAGGAUAUAAAAACCAGCAGGGCUACGGUUCUCUGUGGCGCUGGUUGGACAAUAACUCCCCUUGAAAACUGUCAGAUUUCUUCAAGAGAUGCAAACAGGGAGCUGCAGGGAGCAUUUGAAGUCAUACAUGUACUAUUAACGAGCUCAAACAAACACAAGUUUUGGGGUCCUUGUGGCACACUUUCUAUUGUCUUUGUAUUUUAUCUCAGUGUUGAUCAAAUUCACAUGCAAGACUUUGUGAUACAGCAGCUGUUAAGGAGGAAUUUACCACACAACAAUUUCACUCAGCAGUAAUUUUGUGCCCUGUGGUCAUAGAGGAACAAAAUUGUAGCUUAUAUACUGUGCUUCUGCUUUUUAAAGGGUUGUAUAGGGAAAUGUUGUAGCAUACCAACAUAUUGUUAGUUCAACCUUUUUCCCAAAAAUGCAAUGCAGGUAGAGAAAUUCAAACGAUUCAAACAUUAAGUAUGUCCCUGUUUAAAAAUAAUCUGGUAAAGAUCCUGAAUAAGUAAUACGCUUGCUAUUGUUAUACCUGCUAUCUUAAGAAACAAAAAAAAAAAAGAAUAAAAACAAUGUCAAUGUCUAAA
Molecule: long non-coding RNA, 3205 nt
Organism: Pleuronectes platessa (European plaice)
Lineage: Eukaryota; Metazoa; Chordata; Actinopteri; Pleuronectiformes; Pleuronectidae
Exons: 3
Source: RefSeq, a predicted model, not a curated record